Molecule: small RNA, 119 nt
Filed under: Sinorhizobium medicae
Lineage: Bacteria; Pseudomonadati; Pseudomonadota; Alphaproteobacteria; Hyphomicrobiales; Rhizobiaceae
Description: ar35
Rfam family: Alphaproteobacterial sRNA ar35
Source: RNAcentral
AUUGUCACGCAGUUUUCAUUAUCGGCUGGUAAAAGACACCCACCUCGCCAUUGACCACGGAUGUACUGGCACUGGCUGAAGGUGAUGAGAAGGUCGGGUUCAGCCCGGCCUUUUUUGUU